ACGCGUGGAACCUUACCAGGUCUUGACAUCCCAUUGACCGCUAUGGAGACAUAGCUUUCCCUUCGGGGACAGUGGUGACAGGUGGUGCAUGGUUGUCGUCAGCUCGUGUCGUGAGAUGUUGGGUUAAGUCCCGCAACGAGCGCAACCCUUGAUCUUAGUUGCCAGCAUUCAGUUGGGCACUCUAAGGUGACUGCCGGUGACAAACCGGAGGAAGGUGGGGAUGACGUCAAAUCAUCAUGCCCCUUAUGACCUGGGCUACACACGUGCUACAAUGGAUGGUACAAAGGGCUGCAAGACCGCGAGGUUUAGCCAAUCCCAUAAAACCAUUCUCAGUUCGGAUUGCAGGCUGCAACUCGCCUGCAUGAAGCUGGAAUCGCUAGUAAUCGCGGAUCAGCAUGCCGCGGUGAAUACGUUCCCGGGCCUUGCACUCACCGCCCGU
RNAcentral lists this ribosomal RNA (439 nucleotides) under uncultured bacterium. RNAcentral's name for it is "bacterial SSU rRNA". It matches the Rfam family "Bacterial small subunit ribosomal RNA", at positions 959 to 1397 of the family's 1533-position model. The record is from RNAcentral.